Molecule: ribosomal RNA, 449 nt
Filed under: uncultured bacterium
Lineage: Bacteria
Description: partial 16S ribosomal RNA
Rfam family: Bacterial small subunit ribosomal RNA
Source: RNAcentral
GGCCAGACUCCUACGGGAGGCAGCAGUGGGGGAUAUUGCACAAUGGGGGAAACCCUGAUGCAGCGACGCCGCGUGAGUGAAGAAGUAAUUCGUUACGUAAAGCUCUAUCAGCAGGGAAGAAAAUGACGGUACCUGACUAAGAAGCCCCGGCUAACUACGUGCCAGCAGCCGCGGUAAUACGUAGGGGGCAAGCGUUAUCCGGAUUUACUGGGUGGAAAGGGGGCGCAGACGGCAGCGCAAGCCAGGAGUGAAAGCCCGGGGCCCAACCCCGGGACUGCUCUUGGAACUGCGCGGCUGGAGUGCAGGAGGGGCAGGCGGAAUUCCUGGUGUAGCGGUGAAAUGCGUAGAUAUUAGGAGGAGCACCGGUGGCGAAGGCGGCCUGCUGGACUGCGACUGACGUUGAGGCCCGAAAGCGUGGGGAGCAAACAGGAUUAGAUACCCGAGUAAUA